RNAcentral lists this transfer RNA (71 nucleotides) under Neotoma lepida (desert woodrat). It matches the Rfam family "tRNA". Rfam says of the family: Transfer RNA (tRNA) molecules are approximately 80 nucleotides in length. The record is from Rfam by way of RNAcentral. Lineage: Eukaryota; Metazoa; Chordata; Mammalia; Rodentia; Cricetidae.
UAGGAUAAAGUGUACAGGUAGAAUGAAGAUAUUUGAAUUCUCAGGUAUAGGUUCCAUUCCUGUUGUCCUAG